CCAGGCGAUACUGAUAGACGGACAAUAGGAAAAUCAAGGACGUCCAUUGUGCGCCGCGUUCCGAGAUUUUAUGGUCGAUCACGUAUGUAACGAGGAAUGUCUUUAAGUUCUUUUUACACGUGAAACGCUCUGCUGAACCGUCGAUUCAAAAGGGAAUAAUUACGAUUCGACGAGGGAAAUGUAAAAAAUGGCGCUGGAUCUCUAUGUAUAAACUGGUUUCAGUUGCAUCCCAAGCAAAAGAGAUUUCUUCUUUUGUAAUAAGUGUGCGCAAUGUACGCCGUAAUUCUAGAGUUUGGAAUGUUUUUAGAGAUGUUCUUUUCCUAGCAUCCUCUUUAACAUGCAGACAGGGGAAUAUUUGAAUAAAUUUUGAUGAAUAGAAAACAGAUACAUCGCGAAAAUACGUGUAUAGUAUUUUAGUUGUUAAUAGAUUACUGUUGGAGAAUAAUGUUUUAAUUAUUGUGUGAUUUUAAGUGAUGCAUCUGUUUUGUGGUAUGUGAAUAUUGUUGAAUUGUAUUCAAGUGGUUAAGUGGUUCAGUUUAUCAAUUAAUCUGAUAUGCAUAAGAAUCUUUAUUUUCUCAUAGCGAAACAAGUUAAAAAAAAGAAAACAUUGAAG
Molecule: unclassified non-coding RNA, 613 nt
Filed under: Bombus terrestris (buff-tailed bumblebee)
Lineage: Eukaryota; Metazoa; Arthropoda; Insecta; Hymenoptera; Apidae
Description: misc RNA ENSBTSG00005019590.1
Source: RNAcentral